Molecule: ribosomal RNA, 1233 nt
Filed under: Alburnus tarichi (tarek)
Lineage: Eukaryota; Metazoa; Chordata; Actinopteri; Cypriniformes; Leuciscidae
Description: partial large subunit ribosomal RNA
Rfam family: Bacterial large subunit ribosomal RNA
Source: RNAcentral
AGACCUUUAGUUUGAACCCCGAAACCAGGUGAGCUACCCCGAGACAGCCUAUAUUGAUUUAGGGCUAACCCGUCUCUGUGGCAAAAGAGUGGGAAGAGCUCCGGGUAGAAGUGACAGACCUACCGAACCUGGUGAUAGCUGGUUGCCUGAGAAGUGGAUAGAAGUUCAGCCUCGCACACCCCAAGCCAGAGAAUACACCGCUAAGGCACUCAGGGAAAUGUGGGAGAGUUAGUUAAAGGGGGUACAGCCCCUUUAACAAAGGAUACAACCUUUGCAGGAGGAUAAAGAUCAUAAUAUAUAAAACAUGCUGCUCUAGUGGGCCUAAAGGCAGCCACCUAAACAGAAAGCGUUAAAGCUCAGGCAGAAAGAAGUUUAUUAUACCGAUAAAAAAUCUUACUCCCCUAAUUAUAUCAGGCCAACCCAUGCCAACAUGGAAGAGAUUAUGCUAAAAUGAGUAACAAGAAGACCUGCUCUUCUCCCAGCACAAGUGUAAGCCAGAUCGGACUAACCACUGGAACUUAACGAACCCAACCCAAGAGGGUAGUGUGAAUAGUACAGACCCCAAGAAGAACUCACAACUAAACAAUCGUUAACCCCACACUGGAGUGCUAUUAUAAAGGAAAGACUAAAAGAGGGGGAAGGAACUCGGCAAACACAAGCCUCGCCUGUUUACCAAAAACAUCGCCUCCUGCAACUAUAUUGAGUAUAGGAGGUCCAGCCUGCCCAGUGACUACGGGUUCAACGGCCGCGGUAUUUUGACCGUGCAAAGGUAGCGCAAUCACUUGUCUCUUAAAUAGAGACCUGUAUGAAUGGCUAGACGAGGGCUUAACUGUCUCCCCCCUCCAGUCAGUGAAAUUGAUCUAUCCGUGCAGAAGCGGGUAUAAUUAUACAAGACGAGAAGACCCUUUGGAGCUUAAGGUACAAAAUCCAACCACGUUAAACGACCCCCUAAAGGGCAAGAACUUAGUGGCCAAUGAAGUUUUACCUUCGGUUGGGGCGACCACGGAGGAGAAAGAAGCCUCCGAGUGGACUGGGUUAAAACCCAAAGCUAAGAGAUACAUCUCUAAGCCGCAGAACAUCUGACCAAAAGUGAUCCGGCUAAAAAGCCGAUCAACGAACCAAGUUACCCUAGGGAUAACAGCGCAAUCCUCUCCCAGAGUCCAUAUCGACGAGGGGGUUUACGACCUCGAUGUUGGAUCAGGACAUCCUAAUGGUGCAGCCGCUAUUAAGGGU